GUUUAACCACUUGUACGCAGACUACACCCACUGCUGCCUCUUGGGUGAAGCUCCGCCCCUGCUUAGGUGGCCAACAGUUUAAUGAACCUUGCCUUCUUUGAAGAGAGCAGAUACUUUCCAGUUCUGCGCGCUGAUUGGCACCUUCUAGGUACUCAGACACUGCUGGUGGGGAGGUAGGGUGAGCCAGAGGCUCCUAGGCGAAACCUGCAGAUUUCUGGCCUUGCUUUCUGCCAUGGAAUCUGUGCAUGCCGCGAGGGAGUCAGCUUUACUUCCAAGACUACACUCCUCUGCACUUCUUUCCAAAAGGCUGUGGGUUCCUAGCUCCGCUCCUGCAAAUUCAGGUCCCCUCCCCACCCAGAUCACCACCGGCUAAAAGAGACACAAGCAGCAGCCAUUGUACCUAAACAUCCUAGGAAACAGAUACUGGGAGACACUGAGUCAUUUCUUCAGACCGAUGGAGAGAGGCAGGACGCAUAGGAGAGACUUCACGGGUGAGACCUGGAGCAGCAACUGAAACUAACUCUGGCCAUUCUUGCAAGGCACCUGCAGAGCCUGGGUUGAUUGAGGCCAGAGCCCAGAAGGUCAGCUCCAACCCAGGGCCGCCUGGGUGCUGGGACAGCUGGAGCUGGCUGGACUGGAGUGACGUGUCUCGGAGGUAAAAUCGGGCACCGGAGGCUUCAAAUGGCUAAGUGUCCUCCAGUUCUCUAGUCCCUGCCCACCACCCCAGGGAGCAGGAAAGUGCAAGAUGCAUUCUGGGCUUCCACAAUGGGAGGGGGUCCCUGCCUCCUAACAAGAUCUAACAGUGGUGGAUUUCCUAGACUCAAGGAGGCCUCCGACGUGUGAUGGAUCAGAGAGCAGCUGAACUCACCUUGCUGGGAGAAGUGGAGGCUCCACGAGGCACCUUGAAAGCUGGAUGGGCUGGAGUCAGAAACAGACAACGGGAGCGGGAAAAGGAAGGGACCGGCCUGGGCACAGGGGGAGGGGUAGCUUUGGGAAAGCGCUCCUGAUGGAUGAGUUUCGGGUUUGGAUGGGCUGACCUGCUCCUGGGAUGCUGCAGUAAGACUCUAGGUAGGACUUACUUUUGAAUGUGCUACUAUCACAAGAGGUGCAGCCAACACUUCCCGGGGCCUGUGCACUGGAGAGCAGUGCCUUAGGCUGCCAGUGUGCAGUGUCUAAUGUGCAGGACACUUGGGCCCAGCGUGUCCUGCUGGGUCCUGCAUCCUUACUGACCUCUGGCUGCUCUAUCCAGGGUCGAAAGAAGACACGGACACCCACAGUUAUUGAGGAGGGACUCUCUCUCCAAGGCUGCCGCUGCUUGCUUUGCAUAUUUAGAAGCUCUGGUGUUUGGUGCACAUGUAUUUGCCAUUGCUGUGUCUUCCUGGUGAGUUGGCCCUUUUGCAUGAUGCCCCUGUCUCUUGUGACAGUCUUGGACAGAGUCUGUUAUUUUCAUCCUGACGGAGCUGCCUUGCUCACUUUUGUUUCCUGUUUGUCUUGAUGUAUUUCCCACCCCUUCACUUUCAGCCUCUGUGUGUUCUUAGAGCUAAAGUGGGUCUUUUGUAGACAGCACAUAUUCAGAUCCUGUAUUCAUUCAUUCAUUCAUUCAAUUGGAGGUUGAACUUAGGGGGACUUUACCACUGAGCACAUCCCCAGCCCUUUUUAUUUUUUGUGAUGGAGUCUCACUAAAUUGCUAAGGCUGGCCUCAAACCUGCCAUCCUCCUGCCUCAGCCUCCCAAGCCAUUGGGAUUGCAGGCAUGUGCCACCAGGCCCAGCUUGAAUCCUGUUUUUUGUUUUGUUUUGUUUUGUUUUGUUUUGUUUUUAAUCAUUCUGGCAAUCUAUGCCUUUUGGUUGAGUUUUAUCCAUAUACAUCUUUUACACAUUUUUUUGCCCAUAAUAUUUAUAUUUAUCCUCUUUUCAAUAACAUAGGAAAUAAAAAGAGGAGUUACAAACCAAAAAUACAACAAUUUUGGCCUUUCCACUUGCC
This 1981-nucleotide long non-coding RNA is filed under the name Marmota monax (woodchuck). The record is from RNAcentral. Lineage: Eukaryota; Metazoa; Chordata; Mammalia; Rodentia; Sciuridae.